UACGUAGGGUGCAAGCGUUGUCCGGAAUUAUUGGGCGUAAAGAGCUCGUAGGCGGUUCGUCGCGUCGGCUGUGAAAUCCCGAGGCUCAACCUCGGGUCUGCAGUCGAUACGGGCGGACUGGAGUUCGGCAGGGGAGACUGGAAUUCCUGGUGUAGCGGUGAAAUGCGCAGAUAUCAGGAGGAACACCGGUGGCGAAGGCGGGUCUCUGGGAUGAUGCUGACGCUGAGGCGCGGAAGCCAGGGGAGCAAACGGG
RNAcentral lists this ribosomal RNA (253 nucleotides) under uncultured bacterium. Its description in RNAcentral is "partial 16S ribosomal RNA". It matches the Rfam family "Bacterial small subunit ribosomal RNA", at positions 524 to 776 of the family's 1533-position model. The record is from RNAcentral.